CUCCGCCUCGCCCCGAGCGCAGGGGUCCGUCGGCCCCAGCCCCGGAGGGUUUGUUGUCUCUGUGCUUCUCGCCUGGUGAAAGCGUUUGGAGAAGCUCUGGAGCUUUCGAGUAGGGGCUCACCCUGUGCACGGUACUCACACAUAUAAUUCAAAUUUCACAGCUGACCUGCUCUGAAAACCUCAAUCAGCUUCUAAUUGAAGGGAAAACAAAAUAUUGCUUCCCUACAGCAGAGCUAACGAUUUAAUCAUUAUAUCAGACAUUAUAGCUUUUAAUUAGGCUAAUGCUGAUACUGUAUGGAAAGAGAUAAUUCAACGCAGUUCUUGAUGAAUUCUGUAAUUGGGUUAACGGAGGAGCAGUCGGGGGAAGAGACGUCAAUAUUCAAGCCGCGUCUGUAGCCAUCGCCUUGUGAAUGGAAGGGAAAGGGAAAGGGAACGCGAGGUUGGGGAGGGUGGGGGACGCAGACGGGGCGAAGCCCCCCGAUGGGCUCUGUCCCCACGUCGCGCCCUGCAGAGCCGCGGCAGCCAACGGGAAGCGCGAUACCGGCCAUCCUGUUAUUGUAAAUGAGAUGAGCUACACGGGCUGCCACGUAAAUGUGACAUGAGGCUCGCAGGAGAGCGAAGCAUCACCCACUCCAAUCUCUCCUUUCAUCGGAACGUCCCCCAGAAAUUACAUCUUCUCCUCCUUUAAUACACUUCGCAAUGAGAUUAAAACAUCACCUUGACACCGUUUCCGACCUUUUUGGUCGCAUCCAGUACUGACUCCAGAACACAGCAAACGGGGAAAACUGGGAACAUCUCAAUAACCCUGGACUGCUCCUCUGGAAGCCGAGAGUGCCCGGAGGACAUAAGUGAUCCUCUUGCUCCAUCCAGCGCAGCGCUGUGGCCAUGGGAAGCGUGAAACGAAUCCCGGGCGGGCAAAUGGGGAAAUCCCAUUCCAUUCCCAGUGGCAGCACUGAGCUGCCGGGCUGGGCCGGGCCGUGGGGUUCAGAGGUGAUGUUCACGGCGGGGUUUUUCACGAACUCACCAGCCUCUGCCUCUCGUCACCUGUACGCCGUCACUAUGAGGUGUUACAGUAACACCACCUCCGAUACGGGCAGCAAAGGGACAUCUCACAGCGCUGUCACCGCUGCCCCACGCUCUGCUGGCGACGUGCGCAGGGCACAGCCUAUUCCCAGAGCGUCCCGAUUAGGGCACACCGCACAGAUUCCGCGCUAUGCAAAGCUGCGUAGAGGGGAUCCCUCCGGCCCCAGUUUUGCCCGUCCUAUGGGUUCGGUGGGAGAGAACCGGGCUUGCGGCACUGCGGUCUGGGGACAGUUUGUACCUCCCCGUCCGCCCCUCCGCACACACAAGCGCACAGCCGCGCACCCCUUAACAAAGAGUCUUUCAAAGCGCAACCUUUGAUGGCAGUCCGCGGGAAUCAAUGCGAUAAAACGGGUUUUUAAUGGGUUAAUUGACUGGAGCCGCUAUCAUGUUUUAACACCUGUUUCUGAAAAGAGAUGCAGCCAAAAGCCGUCCCCUCCCUGAUCGAUAGGUGCACAGCCCCUCUCCGCUGCCUGUUGAUCGACCCCGAAAACCACCAGGAAACCAGAGAGAAAGAACCCGGGUCGUCUUCAUGCACCCUAUAUGGGACGCAGGAGCACCCCUUGUCGGGCAGGGGCACAGCCCCACUCGCACCUCCCAUACCUCGACGCCAUCAGCCGCGAAACCACUGUCACUGCCACCCCCACGGGGCACCGCAGCGGGGUUCCCCGCUCCCUGGCAUGAUUCAGGCGCACUGGCGACGCUGAGAGCUCCUCCGCCUGCUCGCUCCGACGGGCACCGGUAUAACAGCACGGUGUGCCCUGCCCAUUGAUUCCCCUGUUUGGCAGCGCCCGUUGGUCAGCCGCAGAGAUGCUGACGCUUUGCUCCGAACACCUCUGGCUUAAUGACACCGCGCACAGCCGUGUCUGUUCGGAACGAGCCCCGCCACCCCCGGCCCGGCUGCGACCCCCUGCCCCGAGCCCCGGAGGGGGGCACCGCCACCCCGUAUUACCACCGACUGCGGUGAUGCGGGCUGCUCUUCCCUCCCCGCUGCGAAGGGAGCUCGGAAGCCCUCCCAUCGCAGACUCCCCCUCCUUCCACCCUUCCCAAGAAGGGCCGAAGACCCCCUCAAAAGUUAGAGGCACACUUACAGUUGCUCUUCCAGCUCCAGCCUCCUCCCAACAGCUCAGCUCAAAGGGCAGCUUUAUUAUCAUCAUUAUUACUAUUUUUAAUUCUUUUUUUCCCCCCUCUCUCACGCCUUCUCCCGGCCCAGCCGAGGCCAUGGGGCCGGGCCCUGCGGUCUGCUCUCCCGCAGCUCCCGGGCGGCCGCGGUGCCCCGCGGCACACGCACAACCCCCGGCAGAGCUCUCCCUCUCCCUCUCUCUCCGCCGCACACACGCACACACACACACACACACACACACACACACAUACACACUGUGCACGGGAGAGGGGGAGAGAGGGAGACGGAGAGAGAGAGAGAGGAUAAAAUGAAAUUUAUUAUUGAUAGCAAAGACUUUACAGACAAUUUCCAGUUAUUGUUUCGCUCCGGAGAGAAAAGGAAAAAAAAAAAAAAAAAAAAAAAAAAAGAAAAAAAAAAAAGAGGGGCUUUUCUCCCCAACCCACAUAAUGGAACGCUUUUGUGUGGCGCAGAACAAUACCAAACAAGUAUUCUAAUAAAUAGCCACUUUUUUGUUCCGUGCCGGCGGUGAAUGGAACUGAGCAGUUGGUUCGGGAGCAGCUGGAGCCGGGCGGGGGGGGGGAAGGGGGGGAGCGCCGCUGCCUCCCCUCUGCCUUCCCUCUCCCUGCACCUCCCUCUCCCCUUCCCCACCCCUCCCCGGGGAAGCGAUGCUCACGCAAAGGAAUGGAGAAGAGCCCCCCAGGUUCCGCUCCAUGCACCUGUCCCUCCUGGUCCUGCCCUCCCGUCCCCCCCAUGUAGACCCUCCUUUGCGGAAAAUAAAGUUAGGUUUCCCUUCGGGAUGGAGCCUCUUUGUCAGCCCCUCUUCUCUACCCGUACCUCUCCCUUGACAGAGCACCGCCGGUGUGCCUCCCUCCGUACCCCCCUUUCCCCCCCCCCAUUACUAUUUCUCAAUCCCUUUCUAUCAGCGUGACAACCGCUGGGGGAAAGGCAGUCGGGAGCGGUGAUUAAAAUGGACACAAAUCCGCUAAAGACUUCCAGCCCUCCUUUAGAUUCUGAAAGACUGCUAUCAGGUCACCCUGGAGCCUUCUCUUCACCAGGCUGAACAGCCCCAGAUCUCUCAGCUUGUUCUCACAUGGGAGGUGUUUCAUCUCUUGAAUCAUUUUUGUGGCACUCCUCUGCAUGUGCUCCAACAGGUAAACUCCAUGCAGAAAUGUACACCGAUGCCCCUUGUUCCAUCUUCCAGUUACAAGAAGGAAAAUAUGUGCAAAGAAGUUAGAUGCCCUAUGAGGCAUUCUGCGUUUGCUAAUGAUUUAUUUUUUAAUGUUUGUUUGAAGUGAAGACAUCGUGAAAAUAAAUGAUAAGGCUCUUCUCGCACUUUUAUAAAAAGUAAAUGUAAAAUGUUUCUGACUCCUCCAAGCAGCCACAAGUGGUCAGCUUGGGAUGCUUGUUAUCCAGAGUAGAGAAAGACAUCUUAUCUGAAGUCAGGACAUUCUUAACCUCCACUUCUACUUCCUCCAGUAUUCCUCCCCAUAACAUGGUUUAUGUGUUAAGCUCUGCAUCACUCCCUGCAGACAUGGGUGUGUGUGGAGAAUCCUUAGGAGUCCCUUGCAGUGAAUGCCUAUUUUCUGUCAGCCUGGCUUGGAAAGAUGUCAAAAGGUUUUCUUAUGAGGAUCAGUGGCACACUGUAGAGAUCACAAAGAACACAGCUCAGGUAACAGACAGAAAAAACUUAAGUGUUUUUAGUUUGGUGUAUGAGUGUAGUAAAUCUUGCAAAUAUGUUUUGAAAUUAAGUACUGCAAUUUUUGUCUAAACAUAUUAAAGGGGCAUUUUCCUCUUA
Molecule: non-coding RNA, 3998 nt
Organism: Coturnix japonica (Japanese quail)
Lineage: Eukaryota; Metazoa; Chordata; Aves; Galliformes; Phasianidae
Source: RefSeq, a predicted model, not a curated record